GCAGAUAAUUUCUUUAUUGAAACUAUCAGGAAGUUUUACUAUGAAAUUUUACAUACAUGAUGGAAAGUGGAAGACAUAUACCAAUUAUAUUCCAGGAAAAAAUACUUUAAUAGUAUUGUUAUAUAGUGUAUUGGCUAAUUCCAGUGGAUCCUCAUCUCUCACUGCUGACAUUAUCUCCAAUAUUUGACUAAAACAAAACAAAAACAAAAAUGGUUAAAUCUCCAAGUAUACAUUUAGUUCUAAAGCUAUAUAAUAUUUUUCCACACAAAGGAAAAUAUUGGCACACCUUUAAUAUAAUAAAGCUUAACAGUUAUUAAGUUUUUCAGCAAUAUCAAUAGAAAAACUUACUGCCAGUAACUGGAAACAGAUUUAUGGACUGUCUUGCAUAUAACUAGAGCUAAGAACCAGGUUCAAGUAAAUUAUUAAAGCAGCCAUCUGUAUUAUGUUCACCAAUUAUAGCAUUAACUGAGUGGAAAUGAAGAGUCCUUUUCAAUUGUGAGUCAUAGCAUGUUCAUUAGUGGGUCAUGAUGAGCAUUUUAAACAUUGACAAGUACAUUGUACUCAAUAAGGGUAAGUACUGUUCCAUUUUUUGUUAGGUUUUAUUAUGUAUGUGUGUCCUAAGUCACAACGUAAUUUGUACUGUGGGACAGCAGCCACAGUUGGAAAUCUACUGCUAGAGAACUAGUCCUUGAGAGACAGCAAAUGAAGGUAUUAGGUUGCUGCAAAAGUAAUAUUUACUUGGAAAAAUGUGUGGUUAUUGAGGGCGAGGGCUUUCUGUACCUCUACCCUUGCGAGAGAAAUAAGCCCAGGUGUCCAUCCUUCAGUUUCUUUCUUUCUCUGUCUCUCUCUUCCUUCCCUUCCCUCCCUUCCUUUCCUUUCUUUUUCUUUCCUUUCUUUUUUUUUUCUUUUUUCUUUCUUUUUUGAGACGGCGUCUUACUCUGUUGCUCAGGCUGGAGUGCAGUGGCACGAUCUCGGCUCACUGCAACCUCUGCCGCCUGGGUUCAAGUGAUUCUCCUGCCUCAGCCUCCUGAGUAGCUGGGAUUACAGGCACCUGCCAUCACACCCAGCUAAUUUUUGUAUUUUUAGUAGAGACGGGGUUUCACUAUGUUGGCUGGCCGUGGUCUUGAACUCCUGACCUUGUGAUCCACCCCACCUGGGCCUCCCAAAGUGCUGGGAUUACAGGUGUGAGCCACCGCGCCUGGCCGCAUCUUUCAGUUUCUGUGCUUACAGUAAUGAUGAUCCGUAGUGUCUCCAUACUUAUUAUAUAUAAGUGGAAGAUUUUUAAUACAUGAAUUAGAAAGUUCCAAAGUCCAAAUUGAACAUUUAAAUAUUCUUUGCCUAAGCUUUUUGUUCCCUUAGUAUCUUAAAUGUUAACACCUAAAGGAAUUAAGGAUGGAGAUCUAAGAUUAAUGGGAAUUUAAAAAAUUGUUUUGUAAUGUGACACAAAAGCCUUGCUUGAUGUUUAUACUAAGCAAACACUACACUAAAAUUUUAUCUGACAGUCAAGAUACACUAAAAGCAAAUCUAUUAACAUUUAAAUUAAGACAGUGAAAAUCCAUUUUUCUUAGGAAACUACUGAAUGUCCCUCUGUAUGCACUUCUCAGAAUUGGAACUCUUGAUUAAUGCUGCUGAUGACACAGUUUUGAAGGUCACAGCAGCUUUGCUAAGAUUAUAUUGCAUAGCAAAUUCAUUUUAUUGAAAUCGCUUAUAAGAAAUCUAUUGGGCUGGGCCCAGUGGCUCAUGCCUGUAAUCACAGCACUUUGGGAGGCUGAGGUGUGAGCCACUGUGCCCAGCCAGGCAAAGGUUUUUAAAGUCUUGCAAGAUCUACAUGAUUCCUACCCUAUCUCCUUUCCAGCCCUUCCCCAUACUGAUACAAGUUAUAGCUUUAAAAAAAAUAAUUGCCACUCUCCUGCUUAAAAUCCUUUGGGUAGUGAUAAAAUCUAAGCAAAAUGCUGGCAUAUAAGAGCCCUCACAAUCUGGGCUCACUCUACCUUCCCAGACUUGACUUCUGCUUACACUGUGCAUCCUACUUUCUGCCACACUUGUUCCUCUGGAUUAGCCAGGCCCUUCUGCAGUCUGCCUUUGCUUAAGGUGUUUGUUUGUCUUUCUCUGGCCUAACUCCCAGUCAUGGGUAAACAACUGAAAUGUCACCUUGGUAUAACUCUCUCCUGUUUCCCCUCAAAGCAGACAGUUGAUGUGCCCUAUGGUCCUGGUCAUAGAUUCCUACUUGUAUAACAGCACUACUAUCUUGGACUCUGUCUGCUUAUGUGCUCCAGGAGGGCAGGGGUCCUCGCCUGACUCACUGAAUGCCUUAUCUAAAGUGCCAGGCACAGUGUACCUAUUCAUCUGGUGGAUGGAUAAAGACAGGGACUGUCUUGGUUCUUCCUGUGUAGCCUUAGUAACUUGUACCUUUCCUGACAUGGCAGGGGCUCCAAAACAUCUGUUGCAAACAAUGUAUAUCUAAAAGACCUCUAUAAAAAUAAUUAGAAUGUAAAACUGUUAACAGAAUGGAGGUUGAGAAAAUGACUUUGCAAGUAGCAAUUAACUUGCCAACUCAUAAUUAGCAGUAGAUUAGAGGAUUGUGUAUUUUUUAAAUGUGGUUUAAAUCUUUUCAGCUUGCAGAUGCUAGAUUUUCCUAAGCUCUGCAACUAACUGAAGAACAAGUAUUGAUGAAGCCUUCACAGUUCUUUUUUUUUUUUUUUUGAGAUGUAUUUUCACUUUUGUCUUCCAGGCUAGAGUGCAAUGGUGUGGUCUCUGCUCACUGCAACCUCCGCCUCCCAGGUUCAAGCGAUUCUCCUGCCUCAGCCUCCUGAGUAGCUGGCAUUACGGGCAUCCGCCAUGACGCCUGGCUAAUUUUUGUAUUUUUAGUAGAGACAGGAUUUCACCAUGUUGGCCAGGCUGGUCUCGAGCACCUGACCUCAGGUGAUCCGCCUGCCUUGGCCUCCCAAAGUGCUGGGAUUACAGAUGUGAGCCACCAUGCCUGGCCAGCCUUUAUAGUUCUUAAACAGUCUACAUUUAAAAACACCUUGAAAUUUUGUCUUGCAAAUAUAUAGCUAAAGUCAACAGCUAUAAUCUUACAUAAGAUUAAGGAAAUAUAAAAAACUUACUUGGAUACACUGUUGGCAACUACUUCCUGUAAGCUGGCUGCUGUCAAAAUACCAGUUUCUUUUCUCUAGUGUCCUUUUAGUUCCCCAAAAAAUUGGCUGGGUGUGGUAGCUCACGCCUGUAAUCCUAGCACUUUGGGAGGCUGAGGUCAGGAGUUUGAGACCAGCCUGGCCAACAUGGCAAAACCCCAUCUCUACUAAAAAUACAAAAAUUAACUGAGUGUGGUGGCAUGUGCCUAUAGUUCCAGCUACUUGGGAGGCUGAGGCAGGAGAAUUGCUUGAACCCAGGAGGCGGAGAUUGCAGUGAGCCAAGAUCACUCCACUGCACUCCAGCCUGGGCAACAGAGCAAGAUGGUCUCAAAAAAAAAAAAAAAAAAAAAGAUUUAGAAAUACUGUCUCAUCACUGAAUUUGCAAGUACUUACAUUUCUUUAUUUUUUAAAAUUUUCUUUAUUUCUUUAGAGACAGGGGUCUCCCUAUGUUGCCUGAGCUGAUCUUGAACUCCUGAGCUCAAGCAGUCUUCCCAAGUAGCUGGAAUACAGGCGCAGGCCACCAUGCCUGGCUGCUUCAGUUUUAAAGACUUUGUCAGCUCAAGCAUGUUAAUAAAGGAAAAGAACCUUUCAAACAUAUUUUUAUAGAAUAAUUCUUCACUGUUCUUAUCUGGCUUAUCUUCUAAUACUCUUUUCCUGUUAAAAACUACUGAAAAAAAAGAUGGUGCAUAUGCAAUGAAUAGUCUUAAAAGCAACAACCUAUUUUGUUUUCUUUUUUACCCCUCAUGAAGACACAGUACCAAUUAGUUUUUGUGAAUGUGUUAUAAGUAUGCCCAAUUGUCUGAAUUGGUAAAUCAUAUAAGACUGAUAUAAUCUAGAUUAAUUUAAAUUAUCUGUUUGUGCAAACAAAAGAAAUUGGAUUAUGUACCCAUUAAAAUGAUAUAACCAC
RNAcentral lists this long non-coding RNA (4041 nucleotides) under Homo sapiens (human). RNAcentral describes it as "HSALNT0349560". Lineage: Eukaryota; Metazoa; Chordata; Mammalia; Primates; Hominidae. The record is from RNAcentral.